RNAcentral lists this ribosomal RNA (1496 nucleotides) under uncultured bacterium. RNAcentral describes it as "16S ribosomal RNA". It matches the Rfam family "Bacterial small subunit ribosomal RNA". The record is from RNAcentral.
AGAGUUUGAUCCUGGCUCAGGAUGAACGCUAGCGGCAGGCUUAACACAUGCAAGUCGAGGGGCAGCGGGGAGGAAGCUUGCUUUCUCCGCCGGCGACCGGCGCACGGGUGAGUAACACGUAUGCAACCUGCCCCUGUCAGGGGGACAACCCGCCGAAAGGCGGGCUAAACCCGCGUACAUGCCACCGGGGCAUCCCGGAGGCAGGAAAGGCUUCGGCCGGACAGGGAUGGGCAUGCGGCGCAUUAGGCAGUAGGCGGGGUAACGGCCCACCUAACCGACGAUGCGUAGGGGUUCUGAGAGGAAGGUCCCCCACACUGGUACUGAGACACGGACCAGACUCCUACGGGAGGCAGCAGUGAGGAAUAUUGGUCAAUGGUCGGGAGACUGAACCAGCCAAGCCGCGUGAGGGAUGAAGGUACAGAGUAUCGUAAACCUCUUUUGUCAGGGAACAAAGGCGGGGACGUGUCCCCGGAUGAGUGUACCUGAAGAAAAAGCAUCGGCUAACUCCGUGCCAGCAGCCGCGGUAAUACGGAGGAUGCGAGCGUUAUCCGGAUUUAUUGGGUUUAAAGGGUGCGCAGGCGGUCUGUUAAGUCAGCGGUCAAAGCCCGGGGCUCAACCCCGGCCCGCCGUUGAAACUGGCAGUCUCGAGUUGGAGAGAAGUAUGCGGAAUGCGCGGUGUAGCGGUGAAAUGCAUAGAUAUCGCGCAGAACUCCGAUUGCGAAGGCAGCAUGCCGGCUCCACACUGACGCUGAGGCACGAAAGCGUGGGUAUCGAACAGGAUUAGAUACCCUGGUAGUCCACGCAGUAAACGAUGAAUGCUGGCUGUCCGGGGGGGAUUGACCCCUGGGUGGCGAAGCGAAAGCGAUAAGCAUUCCACCUGGGGAGUACGCCGGCAACGGUGAAACUCAAAGGAAUUGACGGGGGCCCGCACAAGCGGAGGAACAUGUGGUUUAAUUCGAUGAUACGCGAGGAACCUUACCCGGGCUCAAACGGGGAGUGACUCAGGCAGAGACGCCUGUUUCCCACGGGACACUCCCCGAGGUGCUGCAUGGUUGUCGUCAGCUCGUGCCGUGAGGUGUCGGCUUAAGUGCCAUAACGAGCGCAACCCCCGCGUGCAGUUGCUAACAGAUAACGCUGAGGACUCUGCACGGACUGCCGGCGCAAGCCGCGAGGAAGGCGGGGAUGACGUCAAAUCAGCACGGCCCUUACGUCCGGGGCGACACACGUGUUACAAUGGGUGGUACAGCGGGAAGCCAGGCGGCGACGCCGAGCGGAACCCGAAAUCCACUCUCAGUUCGGAUCGGAGUCUGCAACCCGACUCCGUGAAGCUGGAUUCGCUAGUAAUCGCGCAUCAGCCAUGGCGCGGUGAAUACGUUCCCGGGCCUUGUACACACCGCCCGUCAAGCCAUGGGAGCCGAGGGCGCUUGAAGUGCGUCGCCGCGAGGCGCGCCCUAGAGCGAAAUCGGUGACUGGGGCUAAGUCGUAACAAGGUAACC